CCCACACCCAUGUGUAUAGGACCCCAAAGGAUCACCAUCAAAUUUGGCACAGAUCUCUAGAAAAGUUAUCACAAGGAUGUGGGAUUUGACUUUUUUAGAGAUAUAUGCCAAUUUUAAUGGUGAUCCUUUGGGGUCCUAUACACAUGGGUGUGGG
Molecule: microRNA precursor, 154 nt
Filed under: Amborella trichopoda
Lineage: Eukaryota; Viridiplantae; Streptophyta; Magnoliopsida; Amborellales; Amborellaceae
Description: MIR8565 microRNA precursor family
Rfam family: MIR8565 microRNA precursor family
Source: Rfam by way of RNAcentral